This 436-nucleotide ribosomal RNA is filed under the name uncultured marine alveolate. Its description in RNAcentral is "SSU rRNA". It matches the Rfam family "Eukaryotic small subunit ribosomal RNA", at positions 109 to 549 of the family's 1831-position model. The record is from RNAcentral.
GUUAUAGUUUACUUGAUAGUCAAUCGUUAUACGGAUAACUGCGGUAAUUCUGGAGCUAAUACGUGCACAAAGACCUGACUUCAAGGAAAGGUCGUGUUCAUUAGAUACAGAACCAAUCCCUUCGGGGUUUUUGGAUGAUUCAUAAUGAAGGAACGGAGCGUACGACUUGUGUCGACGCUGUUUCAUUCAAGUUUCUGACCUAUCAGCUUCCGACGGNAGGGUAUUGGCCUACCGUGGCAUUGACGGGUAACGGAGAAUUAGGGUUCGAUUCCGGAGAGGGAGCCUUAAAAACGGCUACCACAUCUAAGGAAGGCAGCAGGCGCGCAAAUUACCCAAUCCUGAUACAGGGAGGUAGUGACAAGAAAUAACACAGAGAGCGCUUAUUGCGUUUCUCUUUGGAAUGAGUAGAAUUUAAAUCUCUUUUCGACUAUCAAUU